CAGAUCAAGUUACUAAGCGCAGAAGGUGGAUGCCUUGGCAGUCGAAGGCGAAGAAAGACGUGGAAGCCUGCGAAAAGCUUCGGGGAGCUGGCAAA
Molecule: ribosomal RNA, 95 nt
Filed under: Candidatus Aquirickettsiella gammari
Lineage: Bacteria; Pseudomonadati; Pseudomonadota; Gammaproteobacteria; Legionellales; Coxiellaceae
Description: partial 23S ribosomal RNA
Rfam family: Bacterial large subunit ribosomal RNA
Source: RNAcentral